CGCCCCGGCCGACGGCAGGUGGCGCUUUAACACAACACCUCCCGGGCACGUGGGCUUGCUCUCUCUCUCUCUCUCCUUUUCCCUUUCUCCCUGUUUUUCUAAGGCAAAGAAAUCCAUAUAAAGCCCAAGAGGCUGCAUUCUCCCUUCCCCCCGUCUGCAUUUUCGGUGCUUUGUCCCUUUUCUCCCCGUGUUUUCCCUCCCUCGGCGGCGACCGGAGACGCAGCGGGACCGUUUGGCCGCGCCCGGCCCGCGUGCGUCCCGCCCCAGGCGGAGGCCGGAGUAACGGUCUGCGGGGUUGGGCUGGGGCGGGGGCCCGGUCCUCGCGUUCCAUCUGGCCACUCCCGAGGCUGGUUCUGAACCCGGUUCCCGGGACCCGCGAGCUUCGGCACGGCCCCGCCCCCCGGGCUCUCCAGCCCGCCCUGUCCCCUCCCCCCACCCCCCGCUCCCCACUCCUUCCCGUUCCCCCUCUUCCUCUUUGUCCCCUCCCCCUCUCUCGGUCACCAGCGCCCUCCGGAGCAGCCUCGUCCUGAACGUCUAGCGAGGAGCCAGCACGCCUUGCGGGGCCUUGGCUGUUUUAGUUAGCGACACGGACCGAGGAGAAAAUCGCUGUUACCCAUCUGUGGAUAUUCUGCGGGGAGAUUGAAAGAAAACCUGCUUCCUAUUCAUUGCCUGUCGUCAUCGCUGCCUUCACACCCUCCAGCGCUGGCGAGCCGGCAACUUUGAGUAAUUCCCCGAGAUACUGCCCAGAGUAUUUCGCGAGACAAGUCAGCCUCUUAGGACUCACACAGUGACCCCAACCCGCUGCUCCCUUUCGGGUUCCUUUCCUGCAAAUGACACUGCAGUGCUUGCACAUUGCAGUUUCCUGAUGUCUUUAGUCACAGAAAAUGGUACCCUGUUUUCACAUUUUUCACAGACCAUCGCGCGCGCGCGGUUGUGUGAGUGUGUUGUGAGUGUGUGUGUGUGCGCGCGCGCGCCCGCGUGCCACCAUUGCAGUACCCCCCCCCCCCACGUUAUUCAUCCUAAAGAAAAACACUGCGUCCAAUCCUUGUGAUAUUCAAGCCAAUCCUGUGGGCAAUCUAUGCUCUCCAGCCAUCGGAACCAGAGGAAUUUACAGUCAUCCAUACAGGGUGACCUCAAGUCUGGAGAUGUAUAAAACCGAAGGCAGUGUGUGAAAAUCCGUAUUCCCUCCCACAA
Long non-coding RNA from Leopardus geoffroyi (Geoffroy's cat), 1194 nucleotides. RefSeq lists it as uncharacterized. NCBI's taxonomy places the organism in Eukaryota, Metazoa, Chordata, Mammalia, Carnivora, Felidae. The transcript has 2 exons. The record is from RefSeq and is a predicted model, not a curated record.